GAUGAACGCUAGCGGGAGGCCUAACACAUGCAAGCCGAGCGGUAUUGUUUCUUCGGAAAUGAGAGAGCGGCGUACGGGUGCGGAACACGUGUGCAACCUGCCUUUAUCUGGGGGAUAGCCUUUCGAAAGGAAGAUUAAUACUCCAUAAUAUAUUGAACGGCAUCGUUUAAUAUUGAAAGCUCCGGCGGAUAGAGAUGGGCACGCGCAAGAUUAGCUAGUUGGUGAGGUAACGGCUCACCAAGGCGAUGAUCUUUAGGGGGCCUGAGAGGGUGAUCCCCCACACUGGUACUGAGACACGGACCAGACUCCUACGGGAGGCAGCAGUGAGGAAUAUUGGUCAAUGGGUGCAAGCCUGAACCAGCCAUCCCGCGUGAAGGACGACUGCCCUAUGGGUUGUAAACUUCUUUUGUAUAGGGAUAAACCUACCCUCGUGAGGGUAGCUGAAGGUACUAUACGAAUAAGCACCGGCUAACUCCGUGCCAGCAGCCGCGGUAAUACGGAGGGUGCAAGCGUUAUCCGGAUUUAUUGGAUUUAAAGGGUCCGUAGGCGGACUUAUAAGUCAGUGGUGAAAGCCUGUCGCUCAACGAUAGAACUGCCAUUGAUACUGUAAGUCUUGAGUAUAUUUGAGGUAGCUGGAAUAAGUAGUGUAGCGGUGAAAUGCAUAGAUAUUACUUAGAACACCAAUUGCGAAGGCAGGUUACCAAGAUAUAACUGACGCUGAGGGACGAAAGCGUGGGGAGCGAACAGGAUUAGAUACCCUGGUAGUCCACGCCGUAAACGAUGCUAACUCGUUUUUGGGCUUUAGGGUUCAGAGACCAAGCGAAAGUGAUAAGUUAGCCACCUGGGGAGUACGCUCGCAAGAGUGAAACUCAAAGGGAUUGACGGGGGCCCGCACAAGCGGUGGAUUAUGUGGUUUAAUUCGAUGAUACGCGAGGAACCUUACCAAGACUUAAAUGGGAAUUGACAGCUUUAGAAAUAGAGCUUUCUUCGGACAAUUUUCAAGGUGCUGCAUGGUUGUCGUCAGCUCGUGCCGUGAGGUGUUAGGUUAAGUCCUGCAACGAGCGCAACCCCUGUCACUAGUUGCCAUCAUUCAGUUGGGGACUCUAGUGAGACUGCCCACGCAAGUAGAGAGGAAGGUGGGGAUGACGUCAAAUCAUCACGGCCCUUACGUCUUGGGCCACACACGUAAUACGAUGGCCGGUACAGAGGGCAGCUACACAGCGAUGUGAUGCAAAUCUCGAAAGCCGGCCUCAGUUCGGAUUGGAGUCUGCAACUCGACUCUAUGAAGCUGGAAUCGCUAGUAAUCGCGCAUCAGCCAUGGCGCGGUGAAUACGUUCCCGGGCCU
Molecule: ribosomal RNA, 1345 nt
Filed under: uncultured bacterium
Lineage: Bacteria
Description: bacterial SSU rRNA
Rfam family: Bacterial small subunit ribosomal RNA
Source: RNAcentral